RNAcentral lists this non-coding RNA (31 nucleotides) under Homo sapiens (human). Lineage: Eukaryota; Metazoa; Chordata; Mammalia; Primates; Hominidae. The record is from RNAcentral.
UGGUGAAGACUAUGAGACACUGCGUCAGAUA